This 492-nucleotide ribosomal RNA is filed under the name uncultured bacterium. RNAcentral describes it as "partial 16S ribosomal RNA". It matches the Rfam family "Bacterial small subunit ribosomal RNA", at positions 29 to 507 of the family's 1533-position model. The record is from RNAcentral.
AGUGAACGCUGGCGGUAGGCCUAACACAUGCAAGUCGAACGGCAGCACAGUAAGAGCUUGCUCUUACGGGUGGCGAGUGGCGGACGGGUGAGGAAUACAUCGGAAUCUACUUUUUCGUGGGGGAUAACGUAGGGAAACUUACGCUAAUACCGCAUACGACCUACGGGUGAAAGCAGGGGAUCUUCGGACCUUGCGCGAUUGAAUGAGCCGAUGUCGGAUUAGCUAGUUGGCGGGGUAAAGGCCCACCAAGGCGACGAUCCGUAACUGGUCUGAGAGGAUGAUCAGCCACACUGGAACUGAGACACGGUCCAGACUCCUACGGGAGGCAGCAGUGGGGAAUAUUGGACAAUGGGCGCAAGCCUGAUCCAUCCAUACCGCGUGGGUGAAGAAGGCCUUCGGGUUGUAAAGCCCUUUUGUUGGGAAAGAAAAGCAGCAGGUUAAUACCCCGCUGUUCUGACGGUACCCAAAGAAUAAGCACCGGCUAACUUCGUG